CGGCCUUAUUACAUUUAAAAGCCCAAAAACUUCAAACGUAAAUAAAAGGAUGUCUAGUUCACCAGAAGAAAAUCAAACUUUCAGAACGGGUGGCCACUCCAAAUUCCCUCACAGCUCCAAGCCCACUAUGGUUGGGGAUUUCCUGCGUGGAUGAAAAUAAAAGGGGUGAGUUUGGGGAAACUUAGUGUGUAAGGAAAACCCAUUCAAAGCCCAAGUCAGCUCAAGCCUAUUGGGCCUAAGCCCAUCCAGGUAACAGUGGUACUGAGCCAGAGCCCUUUUCAGAUUACAAUAAACUGGGCCUUAUCCCCUUAUUCAGAUAAUAGUAUGGCCCAUAGGCCCAUUUCAAAAUACAUGCAACAUCAGUAAAC
Molecule: long non-coding RNA, 368 nt
Filed under: Gossypium barbadense (sea-island cotton)
Lineage: Eukaryota; Viridiplantae; Streptophyta; Magnoliopsida; Malvales; Malvaceae
Description: long non-coding RNA (GBAR_LNC003450)
Source: RNAcentral